This is an unclassified non-coding RNA of Callithrix jacchus (white-tufted-ear marmoset), 291 nucleotides long. It matches the Rfam family "Metazoan signal recognition particle RNA". Rfam says of the family: The signal recognition particle (SRP) is a universally conserved ribonucleoprotein. It is involved in the co-translational targeting of proteins to membranes. The eukaryotic SRP consists of a 300-nucleotide 7S RNA and six proteins: SRPs 72, 68, 54, 19, 14, and 9. The record is from Ensembl. NCBI's taxonomy places the organism in Eukaryota, Metazoa, Chordata, Mammalia, Primates, Cebidae.
GCUGGGCGCGGUGUCGCGUGCCUGUAGUCCCAGCUACUCGGGAGGCUGAGGCUGGAGGAUCGCUUGAGCCCAGGAGUUCUGGGCUGUAGUGCUCUGCCGAUAGGGUGUCCACACUAAGUUCAGCAUCAGUAUGGUGACCUCCUGGGAGUGGGGAACCACCAGGUUGCCUAAGGAGGGGUGAACCGGUCGGAAACGGAGCAGGUCAAAACUCCCUGCUGAUCAGUAGUGGGAUCAUGCCUGUGAAUAGCCACUGCACUCCAGCCUGGGCAACAUAGCGAGACCCCAUCUCUU